This 497-nucleotide ribosomal RNA is filed under the name uncultured bacterium. Its description in RNAcentral is "partial 16S ribosomal RNA". It matches the Rfam family "Bacterial small subunit ribosomal RNA", at positions 28 to 507 of the family's 1533-position model. The record is from RNAcentral.
GAUGAACGCUGGCGGCGUGCCUAAUACAUGCAAGUCGAGCGAACGGACGAGAAGCUUGCUUCUCUGAUGUUAGCGGCGGACGGGUGAGUAACACGUGGAUAACCUACCUAUAAGACUGGGAUAACUUCGGGAAACCGGAGCUAAUACCGGAUAAUAUUUUGAACCGCAUGGUUCAAAAGUGAAAGGCGGUCUUGCUGUCACUUAUAGAUGGAUCCGCGCUGCAUUAGCUAGUUGGUAAGGUAACGGCGUACCAAGGCAACGAUGCAUAGCCGACCUGAGAGGGUGAUCGGCCACACUGGAACUGAGACACGGUCCAGACUCCUACGGGAGGCAGCAGUAGGGAAUCUUCCGCAAUGGGCGAAAGCCUGACGGAGCAACGCCGCGUGAGUGAUGAAGGUCUUCGGAUCGUAAAACUCUGUUAUUAGGGAAGAACAUAUGUGUAAGUAACUGUGCACAUCUUGACGGUACCUAAUCAGAAAGCCACGGCUAACUACGUG